Non-coding RNA from Parelaphostrongylus tenuis, 73 nucleotides. The record is from the annotation of a GenBank genome assembly. NCBI's taxonomy places the organism in Eukaryota, Metazoa, Nematoda, Chromadorea, Rhabditida, Metastrongylidae.
GCCUCGGUGGUAUAGUGGUAGAGAACGCGUCUCCGGAAAAGAUGAAACACGGGUUCGAUUCGCGCUUGAAACC